UAGGGAAUCUUCCGCAAUGGACGAAAGUCUGACGGAGCAACGCCGCGUGAGUGAUGAAGGCCUUCGGGUCGUAAAACUCUGUUGUUAGGGAAGAACAAGUACCGGAGUAACUGCCGGUACCUUGACGGUACCUAACCAGAAAGCCACGGCUAACUACGUGCCAGCAGCCGCGGUAAUACGUAGGUGGCAAGCGUUGUCCGGAAUUAUUGGGCGUAAAGCGCGCGCAGGCGGUCCUUUAAGUCUGAUGUGAAAGCCCACGGCUCAACCGUGGAGGGUCAUUGGAAACUGGGGGACUUGAGUGCAGAAGAGGAAAGCGGAAUUCCACGUGUAGCGGUGAAAUGCGUAGAGAUGUGGAGGAACACCAGUGGCGAAGGCGGCUUUCUGGUCUGUAACUGACGCUGAGGCGCGAAAGCGUGGGGAGCAAACA
Molecule: ribosomal RNA, 427 nt
Filed under: bacterium
Lineage: Bacteria
Also listed under: 2 other names
Description: partial 16S ribosomal RNA
Rfam family: Bacterial small subunit ribosomal RNA
Source: RNAcentral